CAACAGUUAAACUUUUAUAUUUACAAUAUUCUCUUCAUCUUUUGCCAGGUUUAAAAAUGUGUACAGAGCCGCAAAGGGUUGGGGUAGGGAUAAGGGAUUGUCAGGAUUGUUUUGGGGAGAGGAGCUGGGCAUUGGAGUCCGUGGCUGAAUCAUGGGGUCCCCCAGCCCCCCUCCCAUGCCCCAAUUCUGAGGGCAUCUGUCUACAGGGUUCAGGGCCCAGGUCUCUAGCAUUUGGAGGGCAUGGCUGUUUGGAGAGGAGCUAGACCAGGCAGGGGAAAGGAUCAGAAAAUAACUAAUUUUCCAUGGAUGGAGGUAGGAAGAGAAGGGACAGUCAAGAGGCAAAGUUCUGGGGACUCAAGACCAGGGAUUCUGGAUUUGGGUGUCAGUGGAAGACAGCACCCCAGCCCCUAUUCAAGUUUGGCACUAACACCCCACAAAAUGCCAGCAGAUGAGGACUCUCCCCUCGUCCACUGUGUCCCUUAAGCCCUUCCAGACAUCAUUCUUUUCCCAGAUGCCCAAGCCCAAGGCCCUCCGGGGAGUCACCUCACACAUUUCAAAUUAUUCCUGCUGGUGUCUGCCCAAGCCCUGUCCCCACUGCCCCCUCCAUCUGUUCCCCAGCACCGCUGACCUCAUUCUCCCAACCUGUCUGGUGAGACCUUUCUCCCCACUGCCUCCCUCCACCAUUCAAGGCUCCUUUCUUUCAGACAAGGAGGGGGCUUGGGUCAGAGGAGGGUGGUCAGCUGAGGAGAAGGCUGGUCUGACACUGAGAUGGGGACAGCUUCAAAGAGGGGGACGGAGAUGAAGGGGAACGGAGAACUGAGGCAGGGUGGGGGAGACAUGGUGAGGAGAAGGGGCACAGGCGGGAGCCCCCUCACCUGCCACAUCCCUCGCCCUGUAUCCUGCUUGCCCUUAGUUUCCCCUGCCCUGCCUGGGACUGGGAAAUUCUUGGCACAUUUUGGGAGUCUUUCCGCUCAAAUCCACCUACCCAGUUUGGCACGGAUGAGCAAUGCUCUGAGGCCUGGGGAAAAGGCUGUCCUCGGACCACAAUGAGGGCUUUGGUCAAACAUGCGUGGCCUCUGCGGGGGGCACGUUGCCACGCCCCCUCCCCCCAACUCGGGAGCAUGGGCCGGGCCUCCCUCGGGGUUUGUUCACCCUCCUCAACUCCUGCCAACUAGAAGUCUGUGCUCACCUGCCAUGUGAGGAGGAACUGGGUGCUGGGCCUGAGGCCUGGGGGAGGCAGGGAAGUGCUGGGAAGAGAGGGGCCGUCUGCCUGGGGAAACACACAUCCACAUGCAAGAACCUGUUUCCACUCAGAGAAAUGCGUCCUGGACCAUGGGAAAAUAAGCUUCCAGGCAGCAUCGGGAUGCGUGGACUCCUCCCUCCCCCAGCAGGAAAUCUGUGUCUGUCCUCUCUGGAAGGUGAGGGCCUCUCCGGCAGAACGUGCUUCAUCUGACUUGUGCCAAGGGGGGUGUCGGGGGGAACAUGCUUCGCCGGGGUGGGGGCAAGGGAGGCAGGGGCCAGGGGGCUGUGAUUUCCUCGCUGCUUCCCAGGCUCCAUCCUCUGUGGUCUGGUGGCCAAGGGUCACUGUAUGGGAACACACCACUUCCAGGGUCUCCAGGGGGAGGGAGAGGGGAGGAGGUGGGAGAAGGGAUGGGGAACAGGAUUCUGGGGUACAAAUCCCCACAGAAAUUCUUUGAGGGGGCCAACAUGUGUCCAGGGUGGCAAAAAAAAACCUCACCCUGCACAUGGGAAAACACACCCCGUUGUGAGAAAGCACACCUCCACGCGGGAAAAUACCACAUUCCACACACCGAAGACUGGUGUCCCAAUGCGGGGGGAGAAAACACCCCCCAGUUGUUCAAAGGCCCAGAUCCAGAGAAGAGACUGGGCUUCUCUGCGUGGGAAAGACACGCAUCGCAGGGAGGAAUCCCAUGUCCACCUUAGCGCUGCUGGAUGGCGUGUGACGACUCCACAGGAGAAAAGCCAGUUGCCAAGUCCUCCUCCCUGCCUUCGGAGUGGCCGGGCCAGGGAGGGCCGGGGAGGAAGGCCUCCCCACCCGCCCCCUAUACCCGAGUGGUGGAGUGGGGGUGGGGUAGCGUGUUGUUGUGGCUGGUAGCGGUGGGAGGGGGCGGGGGGAAGGGCCCGAAGGGAUGAAGGGAGGGGGGCGGUGGGGGUGGCGGUGGCCCCAGGCCACUGGGCAGCAGGGUCAGGGCCCCGGGGGCCAAGAGAGGCACAUCGUCCGGUGCCCGGCGCAGGGCCAGGGUGUAGUCGGGCGGGCAGGCAGGGCGCAGAGCCUCGGCAGGGUCCGCCCCGACGCCACCACCCCGCUUCAGCUGCAGUGACACCAGCUCCUCCUCUGGUGGCAGCUCACGGCCCGCGGCGGGGAGCAGGGGGCCCCCACCAGGCACGCCAGAGCCUGAGCCGCCAGGUGGGCUAAGCCGCCUGCACCGCAGCUCCUGCCGCCGGUCCCGCUUGUAGUAGAGGGCAGCAAAGGCCAGGAUGUUGAGGAAGAGGAGGGAGGCAGGCGCGUGGUGGUGGUGAAGAGCUCCGUGUGCAGGUUGUGCAGGUGGGGCACGAGCUCCAGCCAGAAGGCCACCUUGUUGGCGCGGUAGUUGUCACGCACGCGUGGCUUCAGGCCUAUGUGCAGAUACUGCUUCUCCUUGCUGUUGAAUUUGCUCCACACCACCUCCUCGAAGCGAUUGGGCUUGGUGUGGAUGAACUUGGUAUCCUGCGGCACCGGCUGGUUGGGGUCCCUGUGGGCACAGGAGGGCAGGGAAAGGAGGAGUGAGGGCAAGGCUCUGAAGGAGGGUGGAUGGCAGUGGGCAGGGAGACAGACAGAGAUGCAGAGAGACAGGGGGACAGCAAGAAAGCCAGAGAAAAAGUCACAGAGGCAGAGAGACACAGAUGGAUAUGAAGAGACAGAGAAACUGCCUGUCUCUUCAGGCAAAUAGGCAAAUAGGGAUGGAGACAGACUGCCAGAGACAGCCAGAAAUGCGGGCAGAGGGGCAGGGACACACACAGAGAUAGCCAGGGAGAAGCAGAAGCUGAGCCUGAAUGAAACACAGACAGGGUCAAAGACACGGGAGGGACAGCCAGAGACAGAGACACAGCCAGGCUGAAAUCAGCUGGCAGCCAGAGACAGCGAAAAGUAAGCAGACAAAAGAGAGCAGCAGAGGGAGGUGGAGAGCUGUCAGUGGAUUUUCAGAGAGACAGAGACAGAAGUAGAGACACACAAACUCUUACACACACUCAGACACACACACCUGAGCAGUCAGCCAGAGAUGCAGAGCUCUAGGGGGGUCGGGCAGGGGGGAUCAGGCAAGGAGGAGGGAGAGAUAGACGCCAAGCCAAAGCCACUGAGUGGGCCCCCAACUCCCCAGAAAGGACAGCGGCUUCUCUGUCUGAUACUGCUGAGUCUCCAACGCUCAACUCCGUGCCUGGCACAGAGGUGUCUG
Molecule: long non-coding RNA, 3455 nt
Filed under: Pan troglodytes (chimpanzee)
Lineage: Eukaryota; Metazoa; Chordata; Mammalia; Primates; Hominidae
Description: long non-coding RNA NONPTRT007058
Source: RNAcentral